Molecule: long non-coding RNA, 1696 nt
Filed under: Sorghum bicolor (sorghum)
Lineage: Eukaryota; Viridiplantae; Streptophyta; Magnoliopsida; Poales; Poaceae
Description: long non-coding RNA (SBIC_LNC008857)
Source: RNAcentral
UGGGCCUUCUCUCCAUAUUUUCUGAUAACCCCCUGCAGAAAUAGACAAACUCCAAAGCUCGUGGAAUUCUGUCAGAUAAAACCCUAAUUCUAGGUGUUUGGUGCAUAUUGAUCCUUUUCCAUGUUUAGUUGAUGAUUAAAUUUAGUACUUAAGGACCGUCAACAAACUCCCCCAAGCUUACCCUUUGCUCGUCCCUGAGCAAACAGCUAAACUCAUAUGGAUCAGGAGUUGCUUCAAUGUUUUCUUUCCUGACAGGCACACAUGCUUUCACAUAAAAAUUCUUCCAGAUUAGAGUGAAGUGUCAUGAAGCUUAGUACCUGCACUUAAGUCUUAAGUAAUCGAAAGACAAAAUAAUUAAGUCAAGCACUAUUCCUCCUGUCUAUACUUCACCUUUGUUCUAGAAUUUUGUAUAAGUUUUAAAAAUAAAACUCAGAGUUCUCAGCAAUGAUUCUCUCAAGUCUCUCUAUAUGUGGUAUUUGUGGAUCCUUACCGAAAUGUCAUUUUCCUAUAGCUAAUGGAAUAUUUAAGUGGAGCUCAUAGGAGUGAAAAACAGCUCAUACAUAUGUUGUCUAAUCGAGCCAUGGAUCCAAAGGAACUCAUCAUAUAAUUAAAUGUGCAUGUGUGGUGGAGUAAAUGAUAGUGAUGGUAAAAAUGUAUAAGUGAUAAUAAAACUUACUUCUCAUUGCUCCUCAUAUUGCUAUCGCUCCUCUUCUUUGAUCUUUGCUUUGGGAGAACAUGGGCUAUCUUUUUCUUUUCUCUUUUUUUUCAGGUGGGUAGUAAAUACCCCUAAUUCUACUGUCGGACACUUGUCCAUUUUUUCUGCUCAAGUGGGCAUCUUUGUACCCCUAAUUCUACUCCGAACACUUGUCCAUUUUUACCUCUCGUCUCACUCUUUUUCUUUCUUUUUCGAGGUUCCGGGCACUUGCCCCUUUUUAUUUCCUCGUAUAUUUUUGCAUAACCCAUGCCUCUUCUGCAUUGAAUCUUUUUGGAGAGAGAAUAACAAUACUUUGGACAGUGAGUGAUAAUAAUAUCUUUAGCAAUUUUAAUGAAUGGUGGUGAAUGGUGUAAUGGAUGUGUGCAAGUGAAUAUCUUAAUUUAACCAUAUGAAAAGCUCCUAAGGAUCUACACAGCUCGAUUAAACUCAAUGUGAAUAUAGUAAAAGAUGUUAUAGCAAGUAUGGCUAUGGUAGGAAGUUUGCAAUGCUUGGCACUCAUCAUGUGAUUUGCGAGUUUUCAAGAUAAAUCUCCAGAACUUAGUGUAGUAGGAACAAGAUAAACAGUAGCUCAAACUUUAUAUCAUGCCUUUCUCUUACCUAGACAUUAGUUUUAUGCUUCCUAUUGUCGAGGGUAUCAACAAGGGGUACCCUCACCAAUGCGUAUAACGAGACCAUCCGUACACAAAGCUAGUCCCUCGAUUCGACGCUCCGUCCACACGUACACGCAGCCAUCAACGGCCGUAGCCUCGAAGACGGAAAUAGCGUCGAGCGAAUCAAUCAGGCGUCGAGCUCUGGUUACCAUCGAAUACGGAACAGGCUCACGCGAAUCAGGAGGCGUCGAGCGCAAGGACGCCGCCACCGCCUGACGCGCGCACGCGAGCCGGGGCAUUAAAUGCGCCUGGUGCUUCCCCACCUAACACAUGGGUCACGGGAGGCGUGAUAGGGAACAGGCACCCGUCCCAUCGAUCUUUUUGCAGCUUU